GAAAUGCGAUAAGUAAUGUGAAUUGCAGAAUUCAGUGAAUCAUCGAAUCUUUGAACGCACAUUGCGCCCGGCAGUAAUCUGCCGGGCAUGCCUGUCCGAGCGUCAUUUCUCCCCUCGACACCCCGGCUCUGCCGCGGCGUCGGUGUUGGGGCGCUACGGGGAGCCUCGCGCUCGACCCCGUAGGCCCCGAAAUGAAGUGGCGGCCCCGCCGCGGCGCCCCCUGCGUAGUAGCUCUUACAACUCGCAUCGGGUCCCGGCGGAGGCCAGCCGUCAAACCCCCCAAUCUUUAUGAUGUUUGACCUCGGAUCAGGUAGGGUUACCCGCUGAACUUAA
Molecule: unclassified non-coding RNA, 333 nt
Filed under: uncultured Microascaceae
Lineage: Eukaryota; Fungi; Ascomycota; Sordariomycetes; Microascales
Description: sequence contains ITS1
Rfam family: 5.8S ribosomal RNA (bases 1-105)
Source: RNAcentral